RNAcentral lists this ribosomal RNA (492 nucleotides) under uncultured bacterium. RNAcentral describes it as "partial 16S ribosomal RNA". It matches the Rfam family "Bacterial small subunit ribosomal RNA", at positions 29 to 507 of the family's 1533-position model. The record is from RNAcentral.
AGCGAACGCUGGCGGUAGGCCUAACACAUGCAAGUCGAACGGCAGCACAGUAAGAGCUUGCUCUUACGGGUGGCGAGUGGCGGACGGGUGAGGAAUACAUCGGAAUCUACUUUUUCGUGGGGGAUAACGUAGGGAAACUUACGCUAAUACCGCAUACGACCUACGGGUGAAAGCAGGGGAUCUUCGGACCUUGCGCGAUUGAAUGAGCCGAUGUCGGAUUAGCUAGUUGGCGGGGUAAAGGCCCACCAAGGCGACGAUCCGUAGCUGGUCUGAGAGGAUGAUCAGCCACACUGGAACUGAGACACGGUCCAGACUCCUACGGGAGGCAGCAGUGGGGAAUACUGGACAAUGGGCGCAAGCCUGAUCCAGCCAUACCGCGUGGGUGAAGAAGGCCUUCGGGUUGUAAAGCCCUUUUGUUGGGAAAGAAAAGCAGCAGGUUAAUACCCCGCUGUUCUGACGGUACCCAAAGAAUAAGCACCGGCUAACUUCGUG